Carica papaya (papaya) is the source of this 436-nucleotide non-coding RNA. The record is from RefSeq and is a predicted model, not a curated record. NCBI's taxonomy places the organism in Eukaryota, Viridiplantae, Streptophyta, Magnoliopsida, Brassicales, Caricaceae.
CAAGAAUUAGAAUACGAGCUGCAGAACACGAUUCGUUUGCUAGGGAAUUGAAUGACAAAAUUUUGGGAUUUCCCAAGUGAGAUACAGAGCUGCGAGGUAGGGAGAGAUACAGAGGGAAAGAGUACAGAGAGAGAUUGUCAAGGGCAGACAUGAUCGAUGACAUAAUCCACUUAUACAUAAAUGGUUGUACGUGAUGGGAACUUGUUGAAGAAAUUUGCAGUGGCUGCAGUAUUGGAUUUCUGUAGCCGACUGCAAUACCUGUUUGUUUCAUGGAAGCUUAACAGUUGAGCUCACGAGAUUUGUAUCUUGAAGGGAGAUUAUUGAAAUGUUUGGGCGACUUCCUUCUGGAAAUUUGAAUUGCCGUCCUUUCAGUUAUUCGAUACAGAUUCUUAAAUUACAUGGUUGAAGAAUUGAAAGGAGCCAACCAUGAACGAAG